GCCGGGUGUGGUGGUGCACACCUGUAAUCCCAGCUAUUUGGGAGGCUGAGGCAGGAGAAUCGCUUGAACCCGGGAGGCAGAGGUUGCAGUGAGCCGAGAUCGUGCCACUGCACUCUAGCCUGGGUGACAGAGUGAGACUCCAUCUCAA
This 148-nucleotide non-coding RNA is filed under the name Gorilla gorilla gorilla (western lowland gorilla). The record is from Rfam by way of RNAcentral. Lineage: Eukaryota; Metazoa; Chordata; Mammalia; Primates; Hominidae.